GAGUUUGAUCCUGGCUCAGAACGAACGCUGGCGGCAUGCCUAACACAUGCAAGUCGAGCGCCCGUAGCAAUACGGGAGCGGCGCACGGGUGAGUAGCGCGUGGGAACCUGCCCAGAGGUUCGGGACAACCGCGGGAAACUGCGGCUGAUACCGGAUGAUGCCUGAGGGCCAAAGAUUUAUCGCCUUUGGAGGGGCCCGCGUCGGAUUAGGUAGUUGGUGUGGUAACGGCGCACCAAGCCAAUGAUCCGUAGCUGGUCUGAGAGGAUGAUCAGNCACACUGGGACUGAGACACGGNCCAGACUCCUACGGGAGGCAGCAGUGGGGAGUUGAUUGGACAAUGGGGGCAACCCUGAUCCAGCAAUGCCGCGUGGGUGAUGAAGGCCUUCGGGUUGUAAAGCCCUUUCGGCGGGGACGAUGAUGACGGUACCCGCAGAAGAAGCCCCGGCUAACUUCGUGCCAGCAGCCGCGGUAAUACGAAGGGGGCUAGCGUUGUUCGGAAUGACUGGGCGUAAAGGGCGCGUAGGCGGCGAACUUAGUCAGGCGUGAAAGCCCUGGGCUUAACCUAGGAAUUGCGCUUGAUACUGGAUCGCUGGAGUGUGGGAGAGGAUGGUGGAAUUCCCAGUGUAGAGGUGAAAUUCGUAGAUAUUGGGAAGAACACCGGUGGCGAAGGCGGCCAUCUGGACCAUUACUGACGCUGAGGCGCGAAAGCGUGGGGAGCAAACAGGAUUAGAUACCCUGGUAGUCCACGCUGUAAACGAUGUGUGCUAGACGUUGGGGGGUUGCCUCCCGGUGUCGCAGCUAACGCGUUAAGCACACCGCCUGGGGAGUACGGUCGCAAGAUUAAAACUCAAAGGAAUUGACGGGGGCCCGCACAAGCGGCGGAGCAUGCGGAUUAAUUCGAUGCAACGCGAAGAACCUUACCAAGGCUUGACAUGGGCCGGACCGGGCUGGAAACAGUCCUUCCCCUUUGGGGCCGGUUCACAGGUGGUGCAUGGUUGUCGUCAGCUCGUGUCGUGAGAUGUUGGGUUAAGUCCCGCAACGAGCGCAACCCUCGUUCCAUGUUGCCAGCGCGUAAUGGCGGGGACUCAUGGGAGACUGCCGGGGUCAACUCGGAGGAAGGUGGGGACGACGUCAAAUCAUCAUGCCCCUUAUGUCUUGGGCUUCACGCAUGCUACAAUGGCCGGUACAAAGGGUUGCGAUACUGUGAGGUGGAGCUAAUCCCAAAAAGCCGGUCUCAGUUCGGAUUGGGGUCUGCAACUCGACCCCAUGAAGUCGGAGUCGCUAGUAAUCGCAGAUCAGCAACGCUGCGGUGAAUACGUUCCCGGGCCUUGUACACAC
This 1338-nucleotide ribosomal RNA is filed under the name uncultured Actinomycetes bacterium. RNAcentral's name for it is "bacterial SSU rRNA". It matches the Rfam family "Bacterial small subunit ribosomal RNA". Lineage: Bacteria; Bacillati; Actinomycetota; Actinomycetes. The record is from RNAcentral.